RNAcentral lists this ribosomal RNA (781 nucleotides) under Aeromonas sp. F1. RNAcentral describes it as "partial 16S ribosomal RNA". The record is from RNAcentral. Lineage: Bacteria; Pseudomonadati; Pseudomonadota; Gammaproteobacteria; Aeromonadales; Aeromonadaceae.
AAGGUCCACAUCGCCACUUUACGCAUCUCUAGACCUCCUUAUGGCCACCGCUUCCGCCGGGGGACCUGUUUCUGACUGCGAGUCCACGCUUUCGCACCCCUCGUUUGUCCUAAUCUAUGGGACCAUCAGGUGCGGCAUUUGCUACAGCUAAACCUCCGACACAGGAACUCUGCACCGAAGGCCUCGAUUGCGCAAUUUAGCUGGCGGACCCCUCAUGCCGGCGUUCCAAUUUUGAGUUUACUUAACUGCCCCCGGGCGUGUUCGCCACCUCGUACACCAAAUUAAGCUACGUUGCGCUUCUUGGAAUGGACCGGAACUGUACAGACCUUAGGACAUCUCUAUGCCCUCACGGAAGCCCUUAGUCUUGUGUCCACGACGUACCGACAGCAGUCGAGCACAGCACUCUACAACCCAAUUCAGGGCGUUGCUCGCGUUGGGGACAGGAAACAACGGUCGUGCAUUACCACCCUUGAGUUCCCUCUGACGGCCACUAUUUGGCCUCCUUCCACCCCUACUGCAGUUCAGUAGUACCGGGAAUGCCGGUCCCGAUGUGUGCACGAUGUUACCGCGCAUGUCUCCCGACGUUCGAUCGCUAUCACUCGCUUAGGGUUUUUCGCGCAGCAUCAGGCCUAGCCUCAGACGUUGAGCUGAGGCACUUCAGCCUUAGCGAUCAUUAGCGUUUAGUCUUACAACGCCACUUAUGCAAGGGCCCGGAACAUGUGUGGCGGGCAGUGUGGUACCCUCACCCAACGUGGUCUUCAUCUAUCGAAUUGGAAGCCCU